RNAcentral lists this ribosomal RNA (492 nucleotides) under uncultured bacterium. Its description in RNAcentral is "partial 16S ribosomal RNA". It matches the Rfam family "Bacterial small subunit ribosomal RNA", at positions 29 to 507 of the family's 1533-position model. The record is from RNAcentral.
AGUGAACGCUGGCGGUAGGCCCAACACAUGCAAGUCGAACGGCAGCACAGUAAGAGCUUGCUCUUACGGGUGGCGAGUGGCGGACGGGUGAGGAAUACAUCGGAAUCUACUUUUUCGUGGGGGAUAACGUAGGGAAACUUACGCUAAUACCGCAUACGACCUACGGGUGAAAGCAGGGGAUCUUCGGACCUUGCGCGAUUGAAUGAGCCGAUGUCGGAUUAGCUAGUUGGCGGGGUAAAGGCCCACCAAGGCGACGAUCCGUAGCUGGUCUGAGAGGAUGAUCAGCCACACUGGAACUGAGACACGGUCCAGACUCCUACGGGAGGCAGCAGUGGGGAAUAUUGGACAAUGGGCGCAAGCCUGAUCCAGCCAUACCGCGUGGGUGAAGAAGGCCUUUGGGUUGUAAAGCCCUUUUGUUGGGAAAGAAAAGCAGCAGGUUAAUACCCCGCUGUUCUGACGGUACCCAAAGAAUAAGCACCGGCUAACUUCGUG